Molecule: ribosomal RNA, 441 nt
Filed under: uncultured bacterium
Lineage: Bacteria
Description: partial 16S ribosomal RNA
Rfam family: Bacterial small subunit ribosomal RNA
Source: RNAcentral
CCUACGGGUGGCAGCAGUGGGGGAUAUUGCACAAUGGGGGCAACCCUGAUGCAGCGACGCCGCGUGAGCGAUGGAGUACUUCGGUAUGUAAAGCUCUGUCAGCAGGGAAGAGAAUGACGGUACCUGACCAAGAAGCCCCUGCGAAAUACGUGCCAGCAGCCGCGGUAAUACGUAUGGGGCAAGCGUUAUCCGGAUUUACUGGGGGUAAAGGGAUCGGAGGGGGCAGGGCAAGCCUGAUGAGAAAGCCCGCGGCUCAACCCCGGGACUGCAUUGGGAACUGCCCCGCGCGAGUGCCUGAGGGGCAGGCGGAAUUCCUAGGGUAGCGGUGAAAUGCGUAGAUAUUAGGAGGAACACCAGUGGCGAAGGCGGGCUGCUGGACGGUGUACUGACGCUGAGGCUCGAAAGCGUGGGGAGCAAACAGGAUUAGAUACCCGAGUAGUC